GAUGAACGCUGGCGGCGUGCCUAAUACAUGCAAGUCGAACGCACAGCGGAAGGUGCUUGCACCUUUCAAGUGAGUGGCGAACGGGUGAGUAACACGUGGACAACCUGCCUCAAGGCUGGGGAUAACAUUUGGAAACAGAUGCUAAUACCGAAUAAAACUCAGUGUCGCAUGACACAAAGUUAAAAGGCGCUUUGGCGUCACCUAGAGAUGGAUCCGCGGUGCAUUAGUUAGUUGGUGGGGUAAAGGCCUACCAAGACAAUGAUGCAUAGCCGAGUUGAGAGACUGAUCGGCCACAUUGGGACUGAGACACGGCCCAAACUCCUACGGGAGGCUGCAGUAGGGAAUCGUCCACAAUGGGCGAAAGCCUGAUGGAGCAACGCCGCGUGUGUGAUGAAGGCUUUCGGGUCGUAAAGCACUGUUGUAUGGGAAGAACAGCUAGAAUAGGGAAUGAUUUUAGUUUGACGGUACCAUACCAGAAAGGGACGGCUAAAUACGUGCCAGCCGCCGCAGUAA
This 513-nucleotide ribosomal RNA is filed under the name uncultured bacterium. RNAcentral describes it as "partial 16S ribosomal RNA". It matches the Rfam family "Bacterial small subunit ribosomal RNA", at positions 28 to 523 of the family's 1533-position model. The record is from RNAcentral.